UUGAGCGGUAUGAAGGGAAACUUUCACGUACCGUUCUGAGAGGAGAGGGAGCAAGUAAUUGCUCCUUUUUACUCGGC
Molecule: non-coding RNA, 77 nt
Filed under: Candidatus Methanoperedens nitratireducens
Lineage: Archaea; Methanobacteriati; Methanobacteriota; Methanomicrobia; Methanosarcinales; Candidatus Methanoperedentaceae
Source: RNAcentral